AAUACUCCAAUACACUCCCUCAAACUUAAAGUUCGAGUUUGCUACGAAAGGAAACAAAUCAAUAGAUAAGAAAUCCACGGAGAACAAACACAAAGAACUUCUAGGAUAAAAAAAACCCACAAAGAACAAAACGAAAAAAUUUUGGGAUAGAAACAUAGAUCUUCGUAUAGAGAUCUAUAACAAAACCUAUAAAGAACGAAACAAGAACUCCUAGGCUUGAUAAAGAGAUGACAAAACAUAUAGUAAGACAUGAGGGAAAGGUUGGCUGGAUCUAGGGCGGAUGGAUUAGAAUCGAACAGAGACGAGCUGAACAGAUCUUGGAACGAGACUGGAUCUAUGGGACAGAGCAUAUGGAAACCAUAACUAUGUGGGACAAAGAUGAACUAAAACUGGUCGAUAAUGAAGCAAAUUAGAACCAGAUGCGGAAGCCAAAAUGAUCAGUUUGGAAUUGGAGUGAACGAAUUUGAAAAUUGGAGGUGAAUAGAAAAAAAACCAAACUGAUCGAAGCGAAAAAUGAAUCAAGCGCGAAUGGUGGUGAAGACGAAGAAGACGAAUAGGGUUUGGAUGGCAGUAGAUUUGAGGACAAAGGGAAUUAAAGUGCGGUGGCGGUGGCUGAUUUGCAAAUCUAAGGGGCGACGACUAAUGAGGGAUGAGUCUGCCUCUAUCGACGAAUGAUCAACAGAGGUAGACAUCGAACGGGGAUGUGGG
RNAcentral lists this long non-coding RNA (708 nucleotides) under Cucumis sativus (cucumber). RNAcentral describes it as "long non-coding RNA (CSAT_LNC002852)". The record is from RNAcentral. Lineage: Eukaryota; Viridiplantae; Streptophyta; Magnoliopsida; Cucurbitales; Cucurbitaceae.